Molecule: non-coding RNA, 242 nt
Filed under: Clostridium baratii
Lineage: Bacteria; Bacillati; Bacillota; Clostridia; Eubacteriales; Clostridiaceae
Description: T-box sequence
Rfam family: T-box leader
About the family: Uncharged tRNA acts as the effector for transcription antitermination of genes in the T-box leader family. T-boxes are found upstream of many aminoacyl-tRNA synthetase genes and some amino acid biosynthetic genes usually in Gram-positive bacteria.
Source: RNAcentral
AGAAAUGCUAUGAAAAGAAGAGUAGUAAAACAAAGUAUCAAAAGAGAGCUAAUGAUUUGGUGAAAGUUAGUGUUAUGGAGUUUUAUGAAGAUGGCCUUUGAGCAGGUUUCUUGAGCUUUAAAUUAAAGUUAGAGAAUCACGGGUGCAACCGUUAUAUUGCAAGGUUUAUAAUAACCUAGUGAGUUUUUUACUGUAAGGUAAAAAAGAAAUAGAGUGGUAACGCGUAAUUUAACGCCUCUAUG